RNAcentral lists this ribosomal RNA (379 nucleotides) under uncultured eukaryote. Its description in RNAcentral is "partial 18S ribosomal RNA". It matches the Rfam family "Eukaryotic small subunit ribosomal RNA", at positions 592 to 975 of the family's 1831-position model. The record is from RNAcentral.
CAAUAGCGUAUAUUAAAGUUGUUGCGGUUAAAAAGCUCGUAGUUGGAUUUCUGCCGAGGACGACCGGUCCGCCCUCCGGGUGAGCAUCUGGCUCGGCCUGGGCAUCUUCUUGGAGAACGUAGCUGCACUUGACUGUGUGGUGCGGUAUCCAGGACUUUUACUUUGAGGAAAUUAGAGUGUUUCAAGCAGGCUUACGCCUUGAAUACAUUAGCAUGGAAUAAUAAGAUAGGACCUCGGUUCUAUUUUGUUGGUUUCUAGAGCUGAGGUAAUGAUUAAUAGGGAUAGUUGGGGGCAUUCGUAUUUAACUGUCAGAGGUGAAAUUCUUGGAUUUGUUAAAGAUGGACUACUGCGAAAGCAUUUGCCAAGGAUGUUUNCAUUG